UACGUAGGGUGCGAGCGUUGUCCGGAUUUAUUGGGCGUAAAGAGCUCGUAGGUGGCUCGGUAAGUCGGGUGUGAAAUUUCGAGGCUCAACCUCGAGACGCCACCCGAUACUGCUGUGGCUAGAGUCCGGUAGGGGAGCGUGGAAUUCCUGGUGUAGCGGUGAAAUGCGCAGAUAUCAGGAGGAACACCAGCGGCGAAGGCGGCGCUCUGGGCCGGUACUGACACUGAGGAGCGAAAGCGUGGGGAUCAAACAGG
RNAcentral lists this ribosomal RNA (254 nucleotides) under uncultured bacterium. RNAcentral's name for it is "partial 16S ribosomal RNA". It matches the Rfam family "Bacterial small subunit ribosomal RNA", at positions 524 to 776 of the family's 1533-position model. The record is from RNAcentral.